UGUGGGAUGAAGGCCUUCGGGUUGUAAACCACUUUUGGCGGGGGCGAAAUAUCGAGUGCUAAUACCAUUCGGUGAUGACGGUACCCGCAGAAUAAGCACCGGCUAACUACGUGCCAGCAGCCGCGGUAAUACGUAGGGUGCAAGCGUUAAUCGGAAUUACUGGGCGUAAAGCGUGCGCAGGCGGUUAGGUAAGACAGAUGUGAAAUUCCCGGGCUCAACCUGGGAACUGCAUUUGUGACUGCCUGACUAGAGUGCGGCAGAGGGGAGUGGAAUUCCGCGUGUAGCAGUGAAAUGCGUAGAUAUGCGGAGGAACACCGAUGGCGAAGGCAACUCCCUGGGCCUGCACUGACGCUCAUGCACGAAAGCGUGGGGAGCAAACAGGAUUAGAUACCCUGGUAGUCCACGCCCUAAACGAUGUCGACUAGUUGUUGGACGGGAUACUGUUCAGUAACGAAGCUAACGCGUGAAGUCGACCGCCUGGGGAGUACGGCCGCAAGGUUAAAACUCAAAUGAAUUGACGGA
RNAcentral lists this ribosomal RNA (522 nucleotides) under uncultured bacterium. RNAcentral's name for it is "bacterial SSU rRNA". It matches the Rfam family "Bacterial small subunit ribosomal RNA", at positions 401 to 917 of the family's 1533-position model. The record is from RNAcentral.